GUGAGGAAUAUUGGUCAAUGGGCGAGAGCCUGAACCAGCCAAGUAGCGUGCAGGAUGACGGCCCUAUGGGUUGUAAACUGCUUUUAUAAGGGAAUAAAGUGAGCCUCGUGAGACUUUUUGCAUGUACCUUAUGAAUAAGGACCGGCUAAUUCCGUGCCAGCAGCCGCGGUAAUACGGAGGAUCCGAGCGUUAUCCGGAUUUAUUGGGUUUAAAGGGAGCGUAGAUGGAUGUUUAAGUCAGUUGUGAAAGUUUGCGGCUCAACCGUAAAAUUGCAGUUGAUACUGGAUAUCUUGAGUGCAGUUGAGGCAGGCGGAAUUCGUGGUGUAGCGGUGAAAUGCUUAGAUAUCACGAAGAACUCCGAUUGCGAAGGCAGCCUGCUAAGCUGCAACUGACAUUGAGGCUCGAAAGUGUGGGUAUCAAACAGGA
This 426-nucleotide ribosomal RNA is filed under the name uncultured bacterium. RNAcentral's name for it is "bacterial SSU rRNA". It matches the Rfam family "Bacterial small subunit ribosomal RNA", at positions 354 to 777 of the family's 1533-position model. The record is from RNAcentral.